RNAcentral lists this transfer RNA (73 nucleotides) under Polyangiaceae bacterium. RNAcentral's name for it is "tRNA-Trp". It matches the Rfam family "tRNA". From Rfam's summary of the family: Transfer RNA (tRNA) molecules are approximately 80 nucleotides in length. Their secondary structure includes four short double-helical elements and three loops (D, anti-codon, and T loops). Lineage: Bacteria; Pseudomonadati; Myxococcota; Polyangiales; Polyangiaceae. The record is from RNAcentral.
AGGGGUAUAGCUCAGCUGGUAGAGCAGCUGAUUCCAAAUCAGCAGGUCGGGAGUUCGAGUCUCUCUGCCCCUG